This 465-nucleotide ribosomal RNA is filed under the name uncultured bacterium. Its description in RNAcentral is "partial 16S ribosomal RNA". It matches the Rfam family "Bacterial small subunit ribosomal RNA", at positions 28 to 507 of the family's 1533-position model. The record is from RNAcentral.
GAUGAACGCUGGCGGCGUGCUUAACACAUGCAAGUCGAACGGAAAGGCUCCUGCUUGCGGGGGUACUCGAGUGGCGAACGGGUGAGUAACACGUGGGUUAUCUGCCCUGCACUUGGGGAUAAGCCUGGGAAACUGGGUCUAAUACCGGAUAGGACGAUGGUUUGGAUGCCAUUGUGGAAAGUUUUUCGGUGUGGGUUGAGCUCGCGGCCUAUCAGCUUGUUGGUGGGGUAAUGGCCUACCAAGGCGCCGACGGGUAGCCGGCCUGAGAGGGUGUACGGCCACAUUGGGACUGAGAUACGGCCCAGACUCCUACGGGAGGCAGCAGGGGGGAAUAUUGCACAAUGGGCGCAAGCCUGAUGCAGCGACGCCGCGUGGGGGAUGACGGCCUUCGGGUUGUAAACUCCUUUCGCUAGGGACGAAGCGCAAGUGACGGUACCUGGAGAAGAAGCACCGGCUAACUACGUG